Molecule: microRNA, 22 nt
Filed under: Magallana gigas (Pacific oyster)
Lineage: Eukaryota; Metazoa; Mollusca; Bivalvia; Ostreida; Ostreidae
Description: Mgi-Mir-12_3p* (star (passenger))
Source: RNAcentral
AGUACCUUCUGUGAUAUUCUUA